RNAcentral lists this ribosomal RNA (507 nucleotides) under uncultured bacterium. Its description in RNAcentral is "partial 16S ribosomal RNA". It matches the Rfam family "Bacterial small subunit ribosomal RNA", at positions 30 to 523 of the family's 1533-position model. The record is from RNAcentral.
AUUGAACGCUGGCGGCAUGCCUUACACAUGCAAGUCGAACGGCAGCGGGGAGAAGCUUGCUUUUCCUGCCGGCGAGUGGCGAACGGGUGAGGAAUGUAUCGGAACGUGCCGAGUAGUGGGGGAUAACACAGGGAAACUUGUGCUAAUACCGCAUACGUACUGAGGUAGCAAGUGGGGGACCUUCUGGCCUCACCCUUUUCGAUCGGCCGGCGUCUGAUUAGCUAGUAGGUGAGGUAAGAGCUCACCUAGGCGACGAUCAGUAGCGGGUCCGAGAGGAUGAUCCGCCACACUGGGACUGAGACACGGCCCAGACUCCUACGGGAGGCAGCAGUGGGGAAUUUUGGACAAUGGGCGCAAGCCUGAUCCAGCCAUGCCGCGUGUCUGAAGAAGGCCUUCGGGUUGUAAAGGACUUUUGUCAGGGAGGAAAUCCUAGUGGCUAAUAACUGCUGGGGAUGACAGUACCUGAAGAAUAAGCACCGGCUAACUACGUGCCAGCCGCCGCCGUAA